RNAcentral lists this ribosomal RNA (462 nucleotides) under uncultured bacterium. Its description in RNAcentral is "partial 16S ribosomal RNA". It matches the Rfam family "Bacterial small subunit ribosomal RNA", at positions 29 to 507 of the family's 1533-position model. The record is from RNAcentral.
AACAAACGCUGGCGGCGUGCCUAAUACAUGCAAGUCGAACGGGGAAAGCUUUCGGGUGAGUACUAGUGGCGCACGGGUGAGGAACGCGUGGAUAAUCUGCCUUAGAGUGGGGGAUAACUAGUCGAAAGAUUAGCUAAUACCGCAUAAGACCACGAGAGCUGCGGCUUUUGAGGUCAAAGGUUUUUCGCUCUAAGAUGAGUCCGCGUAAGAUUAGCUAGUUGGUGAGGUAACGGCUCACCAAGGCGACGAUCUUUAACUGGUCUGAGAGGAUGAUCAGUCACACUGGAACUGAGACACGGUCCAGACGCCUACGGGAGGCAGCAGUAGGGAAUAUUGCACAAUGGAGGAAACUCUGAUGCAGCGACGCCGCGUGAGUGAUGAAGGCCUUCGGGUCGUAAAGCUCUGUCGCAGGGGAAUAACACAAUGAAGGUACCCUGUAAGAAAGGAUCGGCUAACUUCGUG